This 253-nucleotide ribosomal RNA is filed under the name uncultured bacterium. RNAcentral describes it as "partial 16S ribosomal RNA". It matches the Rfam family "Bacterial small subunit ribosomal RNA", at positions 524 to 776 of the family's 1533-position model. The record is from RNAcentral.
UACGUAGGGGGCAAGCGUUAUCCGGAUUUACUGGGUGUAAAGGGAGCGUAGACGGCUGUGCAAGUCAGAAGUGAAAGCCCGGGGCUCAACUCCGGGACUGCUUUUGAAACUGCGGAGCUGGAGUGCAGGAGAGGUAAGCGGAAUUCCUGGUGUAGCGGUGAAAUGCGUAGAUAUCAGGAGGAACACCAGUGGCGAAGGCGGCUUACUGGACUGUAACUGACGUUGAGGCUCGAAAGCGUGGGGAGCAAACAGG